AGAAUACGGUAGAAAUUUUAAAACAACACUAAAGAUUAUAGGCUUCAGUAUAUAAAGUAUUUACCAAAAAUUCAAUAUAUUUGUAGGGGUUAGCCCAUAGAUUUUGAGAAAAUUUCAAAAAAUAUGACAAUAUUGUUUUAAUGCCUAGUUUCAUCCUGCACUAACAUAUGAUGAUGUUAAAAGAGGUUUGGAGCCUUUGUCGUCUCCGUUUAUCAAGAAAAUAAUAAUUUUAUAGUGGUUAUUGCAUCGAUUUAAAAAGUAUUAUGAAGUUUUACUAAAUUAAUUGAUAAAAACAAUUGAACGAUGCUCAUUUACCAUGAAAAAGAGUUUAGCAUACAUUAAUACAAAUGUACAAUAUGGUAGAAAUUUUAAAACAACACUAAAGAUUAUAGACUUCAGUAUAUAAAGUAUUUACCUAAAACUCAAUAUAUUUGUAGGGGUUAGCCCUUAGAUUUUGAGAAAAUUUCAAAAAAUAUGACAAUAUUGUUUUAAUGCCUAGUUGCAUCCUUCACUAACAUAUGAUGAUGUUCAAAGAGGUUUGGAGCCUUUGUCGUCUCCGUUUAUCAAGAAAAUAAUAAUUUUAUAGUGGUUAUUCCAUCAAUUUAGGGAGUAUUAUGAAGUUUUACAAAUUAAUUGAUAAAAAAAUUGAACGAUGCUCAUUUACCAUGAAAAAUAGUUUAUCAUACAUUAAUACAAAUGUAGAAUAUGGUAGAAAUUUUAAAACAACACUAAAGAUUAUAGGCUUCAGUAUAUAAAUUAUUUACCAAAAACUCAAUAUUUUUGUAGGGGUUAGCUCAUAGAUUUUGAGAAAAUUUCAAAAAAUAUGACAAUAUUUUUUAAUGCCUAGUAUCAUCCUGCACUAAUAUAUGAUGAUGUUAAAAGAGGUUUGGAGCCUUUGUCAUCUCCGUUUAUCAAGAAAAUAAUAAUUUUAUAGUGGUUAUUCCAUCGAUUUAGGGAGUAUUAUGAUGUUUUAAUAAAUUAAUUGAUAAAAAAGUUAUUGAUUACCAUAUACAAUGAAAAAGAGCUUAAAAUACAUUAAUACAAAUGUAGAAUACGGUAGAAAUUUUAAAACAACACUAAAUAUUAUAGGCUUCAGUAUAUAAAGUAUUUACCAAAAACUAAAUAUUUUUGUAGGGGUUAGCCCAUAGAUUUUGAGAAAAUUUCAAAAAAUAUGACAAUAUUUUUUUAAUGCCUAGUUGCAUCCUGCACUAACAUAUGAUGAUGUUCAAAGAGGUUUGGAGCCUUUGUCGUCUCUGUUUAUCAAGAAAAUAAUAAUUUUAUAGUGGUUAUUCCAUCGAUUUAGGGAGUAUUAUGAAGUUUUACUAAAUAAAUUGAUAAAAACAAUUGAACGAUGCUCAUUUACCAUGAAAAAGAGUGUAUCAUACAUUAAUACAAAUGUAGAACAUGGUAGAAAUUUUAAAACAACACUAAAGUUUAUAGGCUUUAGUAUAUAAAAUAUUUACUAAAGUCAAUAUUUUUGUAGGGGUUAGCACCUAGAUUUUGAGAAAAUUUCAAAAAAUAUGAAAAUAUUGUUUUAAUGCCUAUUUUCAUCCUGCACUAACAUAUGAUGAUGUUCAAAUAGGUUUGGAGCCUUUGUCGUCUUCGUUUAUCAAGAAAAUAAUAAUUUUAUAGUGGUUAUUCCAUCAAUUUAGGGAGUUUAUGAAGUUUUACAAAUUAAUUAAUAAAAAAAAAUGAACGAUGCUCAUUUACCAUGAAAAAGAGUUUAGCAUACAUUAAUACAAAUGUAGAAUAUGGUAAAAAUUUUAAAACAACACUAAAGAUUAUAGGCUUCACUAUAUAAAUUAUUUACCAAAAACUCAAUAUAUUUGUAGGGGUUAGCCCAUAGAUUUUGAGAAAAUUUCAAAAAAUAUGACAAUAUUGUUUUAAUGCCUAGUUUCAUCCUGAACUAACAUAUGAUGAUGUUCAAAGAGGUUUGGAGCCUUUGUCGUCUCAGUUUAUCAAGAAAAUAAUUAUUUUAUAGUGGUUAUUUCAUCGAUUUAGGGAAUAUUAUGAUGUUUUAAUAAAUUAAUUGAUAAAAAAGUUAUUGAUUCCCAUAUACCAUGAAAAAGAGCUUAAAAUACAUUAAUACAAGUGUAGAAUGUGGUUAGUAAUUUUAAAGCAACACUAAAGAUUAUAGGCUUCAAUAUAUAAAUUACUUACCAAAAACUCAAUAUUUUCGUAGGGGUUAGCACAUAGAUUUUGAGAAAAUUUCAAAAAAUAC
RNAcentral lists this long non-coding RNA (2221 nucleotides) under Brassica napus (rape). RNAcentral describes it as "long non-coding RNA (BNAP_LNC001851)". Lineage: Eukaryota; Viridiplantae; Streptophyta; Magnoliopsida; Brassicales; Brassicaceae. The record is from RNAcentral.